CCUACGGGUGGCAGCAGUGGGGAAUAUUGCACAAUGGGGGAAACCCUGAUGCAGCGACGCCGCGUGAGUGAAGAAGUAUUUCGGUAUGUAAAGCUCUUUUAGCAGGGAAGAAAAUGACGGUACCUGACCACGAAGCCCCGGCUCAAUACGUGCCAGUAGCCGCGGGAAUACGGUGGGGGCAAGCGUUACCCGGAUUUUCUGGGUGGUAAGGGGGCGUAGAGGGCAGGGCAAGUCCAGAGUGAAAGGCGGGGGGUCAACCCCCGGACUGCUCUGGAAACUGCCGGGCUGGAGUGCAGGAGAGGUAAGUGGAAUUACUAGUGUAGCGGUGAAAUGCAUAGAUAUUAGGAGGAACACCAGUGGCGAAGGCGGCUUACUGGACUGUAACUGACGUUGAGGCUCGAAAGCGUGGGGAGCAAACAGGAUUAGAUACCCGUGUAGUC
This 440-nucleotide ribosomal RNA is filed under the name uncultured bacterium. RNAcentral's name for it is "partial 16S ribosomal RNA". It matches the Rfam family "Bacterial small subunit ribosomal RNA", at positions 338 to 795 of the family's 1533-position model. The record is from RNAcentral.